AGUGAACGCUGGCGGUAGGCCUAACACAUGCAAGUCGAACGGCAGCACAGUAAGAGCUUGCUCUUACGGGUGGCGAGUGGCGGACGGGUGAGGAAUACAUCGGAAUCUACUUUUUCGUGGGGGAUAACGUAGGGAAACUUACGCUAAUACCGCAUACGACCUACGGGUGAAAGCAGGGGAUCUUCGGACCUUGCGCGAUUGAAUGAGCCGAUGUCGGAUUAGCUAGUUGGCGGGGUAAAGGCCCACCAAGGCGACGAUCCGUAGCUGGUCUGAGAGGAUGAUCAGCCACACUGGAACUGAGACACGGUCCAGACUCCUACGGGAGGCAGCAGUGGGGAAUAUUGGACAAUGGGCGCAAGCCCGAUCCAGCCAUACCGCGCGGGUGAAGAAGGCCUUCGGGUUGUAAAGCCCUUUUGUUGGGAAAGAAAAGCAGCAGGUUAAUACCCCGCUGUUCUGACGGUACCCAAAGAAUAAGCACCGGCUAACUUCGUG
RNAcentral lists this ribosomal RNA (492 nucleotides) under uncultured bacterium. Its description in RNAcentral is "partial 16S ribosomal RNA". It matches the Rfam family "Bacterial small subunit ribosomal RNA", at positions 29 to 507 of the family's 1533-position model. The record is from RNAcentral.